Pelodiscus sinensis (Chinese soft-shelled turtle) is the source of this 1982-nucleotide long non-coding RNA. RefSeq lists it as uncharacterized. The record is from RefSeq and is a predicted model, not a curated record. NCBI's taxonomy places the organism in Eukaryota, Metazoa, Chordata, Testudines, Trionychidae.
GUGUGUUUGUGUGUGUGUGUGUAUGCGUGUGUGUCUCCUGAGAAUAUUCAUGAUUCAUUACUUAGGAAAAAAAUUGGCACAGAAGUUUUGAAGACAAAUUCUUGCAAUUCAUCUUUUUAAUUUUCAUGUGGAAGUUCUGAGCAAUGCACCUAAAACAUCAAAAUAAUGAAUUUAAUUGAUUUUUUUCUGCGAGUGCCUAAAUCAAAAGUCAAAAUUUGUUUUCAAUGAUUUUAUAUUGGCAAGAAAUAAGUAGCUGCUGGCCUGAAAUUGUAAAGGUCAGGUUUCACCUCAAGGUAAUAAAAAUAAGCCAAGUUGUAAAAUCUUCAAAAUCAGACUUUGUAGAAAGGCUGAUAAAUCCCUCAGUAUAGUUACAUGAUUGGAGGUUCUUUGAUACAUAUCAGUGAAGCAUUAUUGAUUAGGAUAUGACACACUCCAAGUAGUAAAAUGAAGAGCCUGCCCUGCUGUUUUCAGUUAGUGUGUCAGUCCCAAAGGCAUGUCAGACAGACAGUGUUCUAAGAGUGGCUGGUCAUCCACUUUGCAGGAGCCACAUGAACAGCUUGUGGUCUACAUGCCUCACUUCUGAACCUCCAGCCAGACCAUUGCUAUGUGCCUUUUCAGAGCUGAGGCAGCAGCGGUUUGCAGCUGUGUUUCCAAAUCAUCGGUGGUUGAGGGAAGAGGCUGGAUUUGAGGAGGGGAGGGGGGGAAGGUGUUGUGCGUGCAAUUAAAUAUUUCCCAUACUUUAUGAAAAGACUCAGCUCUUACAAAGAGGAAAUAGGUGUGUUUUCCAGUCUCCUCACUUUUGAAUUUAAAAGCAAAGGAAUGUGACUUCUUGAACAAUGGAAGAACCAAUAACUAGACAUCAAGCCAUUCAGCGUGGAAUUAAUUCUGUUAGCUUUUUUGACUGCUACUGCACAUUGAGUGGACGUUUUCAAAGAACUAUCUACAAUGACUCCAGCAUCUUUUUGCUCAGCAAUAACAGCAAAUUGAGACACCAUCAUUUUUACAGUACCUGAUUUCAUAAACACAUGCUGUCCUUGGAGGUCUAUCACCUGAUGCCAUUAAUUAAACUUCUGUGAAAAUUUCUCUCUCCUGCAAGUUGACUGGAGAAGAAAAAGCUCCAACUCCAACAGAAUGACUGGUGCUUUGUUAGAGAAGAACUGCUGUAUGAUGUAAUCUGUUUCCUUCAGUUUCUGCUCUAACCCACUCUGUGCCUGGUCCCAUUUGUUAAGAUUUCAAGAGGAUUUGAGGGAAUGAGAUCAAAAGUAAGAAGGAGUCACAUCAUGUGUAGCAGCCUGAAGAACUUGGCAAAGAGCUUGUACCUAAUUGAGAUGCUUUGCUCGCUGAAGUGCCCUGGCCUUUUGCCCAAUCAUUGGGCUCCUUGGAGCAAUCAAUAAGGUCAUUAGUGUGCAGGUUUAAUACCAAGUGACCUUGGACUGCCUCUUUUCCUGGGUGUAAAAAAAUCACCUGGGCAUAGCAGCAUGGGAAAGUGACACUUUAAUCCUGCUGUUUUUCAUUCCUUUGCCUUUGGUCUAUGUCAUGCACUUUCACAGACGACUGAGUGACCUGUAAAUGGAGAUUAAAUAAUUUCUUUAACAAAUUUAUUGGCCGGUUGGGCUUACUGUUUGCCACAUUGUAAGUAAGGGUGUUGCUGACUUCAGAAAUACUGAAGUCUGACUUCAACUAAUUUUUUCACUGGGACUGAGAGUUGGUCCUGUAAAAAAGGAGUCAAAUGUAAAAUUCAUAGACUUGCGAGUACCUUGAAAUAAAUCUCAUCUGUCCGUGAUUUUUGAUCACAUCCUCUUUGAUUUCUCCCUAUUUCUGCUAGUAUACUCUGCCAGUAUACUCCUCCAUACAUCUCAAAGCACUACACAAAGCACAGACUAAGUACAGACUUACAGAGCUUACUAGCAUAGACAAAAUAUAGAGUAACUUUGUGCAAUUAUUAACAUUUCAUCCAGUAUUGAUAGAAAGUGGCAUCAUUU